GAUGAACGCUAGCGGCAGGCUUAAUACAUGCAAGUCGAGGGGCAGCAUGGUUGUAGCAAUAACAACUGAUGGCGACCGGCAAACGGGUAGCGGAACACGUACGCAAUCUACCCAAAACUGAUGAAUAGCCCUCCGAAAGGAGGAUUAAUACAUCGUAACAUAAUUGAAUGGCAUCAUUUAAUUAUUAUAGCUCCGGCGGUUUUGGAUGAG
RNAcentral lists this ribosomal RNA (210 nucleotides) under uncultured bacterium. RNAcentral describes it as "partial 16S ribosomal RNA". It matches the Rfam family "Bacterial small subunit ribosomal RNA", at positions 28 to 229 of the family's 1533-position model. The record is from RNAcentral.